CCUACGGGAGGCAGCAGUGGGGAAUAUUGCACAAUGGGGGAAACCCUGAUGCAGCGACGCCGCGUGAGUGAAGAAGUAAUUCGUUAUGUAAAGCUCUAUCAGCAGGGAAGAAAAUGACGGUACCUGAGUAAGAAGCCCCGGCUAACUACGUGCCAGCAGCCGCGGUAAUACGUAGGGGGCAAGCGUUAUCCGGAGUUACUGGGUGUAAAGGGAGCGUAGACGGCAGUGCAAGUCUGGAGUGAAAGGCGGGGGCUCAACCCCCGGACUGCUCUGGAAACUGUACGGCUGGAGUGCAGGAGAGGUAAGUGGAAUUCCUGGUGUAGCGGUGAAAUGCGGAGAUAUUAGGAGGAACACCAGUGGCGAAGGCGGCUUACUGGACUGUAACUGACGUGGAGGCUCGAAAGCGUGGGGAGCAAACAGGAUUAGAUACCCUAGUAGUC
RNAcentral lists this ribosomal RNA (440 nucleotides) under uncultured bacterium. RNAcentral describes it as "partial 16S ribosomal RNA". It matches the Rfam family "Bacterial small subunit ribosomal RNA", at positions 338 to 795 of the family's 1533-position model. The record is from RNAcentral.